AUAUAGGUCAAGCUACAAAGGGCGCAUGGUGAAUGCCUUGGCAUCAGGAGCCGAUGAAGGACGUGAUAAGCUGCGAUAAGCUUCGGGUAGGCGCACAUAGCCUGAGAUCCGAAGAUCUCCGAAUGAGGAAACUCACAUGGGAAACCCCAUGUAUCAUUAAGUGAAUACAUAGCUUAAUGAAGGUAACCCAGGGAACUGAAACAUCUAAGUACCUGGAGGAAGAGAAAGAAAAAUCGAUUUUCUUAGUAGCGGCGAGCGAAAGGGAAAGAGCCCAAACCGGAAACUUGUUUCCGGGGUUGUGGACAUAGCAUAAAAGUGGAGGCUAUUGUAACUGAAGAGAACUGGAAAGUUCCACCGUAGAAGGUAAUAGUCCUGUAAGUGAAACGAGAAGACCACGAGUUAUGAUCCAGAGUACCACGAGACACGUGAAACCUUGUGGGAAGCAGGGAGGACCACCUCCCAAGGCUAAAUACUACCUGAUGACCGAUAGUGAAGCAGUACCGUGAGGGAAAGGUGAAAAGAACCCCGGGAGGGGAGUGAAAUAGAACCUGAAACCGUGUGCCUACAACCGCUCAGAGCCCCUUAUGAGGGUGAUGAGGUGCUUUUUGUAGAACGAGCCAACGAGUUACGGUAUGUAGCAAGGUUAAGUACUUAAGGUACGGAGCCGAAGGGAAACCGAGUCUGAAUAGGGCGACUAGUUGCAUGCCGUAGACCCGAAACCGGGUGACCUAUCCAUGGCCAGGUUGAAGCGAGGGUAAAACCUCGUGGAGGACCGAACCACGUUGCUGUUGAAAAAGCAUGGGAUGAGCUGUGGAUAGCGGAGAAAUUCCAAUCGAACCCGGAGAUAGCUGGUUCUCUCCGAAAUAGCUUUAGGGCUAGCGUCGAGUAUGAGUAGUGGAGGUAGAGCACUGAAUGGGCUAGGGGCAUAGCGCUUACCGAACCUUAUCAAACUCCGAAUGCCACAUACUUUGAGCUCGGCAGUCAGACUACGAAUGAUAAGAUCCGUGGUCAAAAGGGAAACAGCCCAGAUCGUCAGCUAAGGUCCCAAAGUGUAAGUUAAGUGGGAAAGGAUGUGAGAUUUCUAAGACAACUAGGAUGUUGGCUUAGAAGCAGCCAUUCAUUAAAAGAGUGCGUAAUAGCUCACUAGUCGAGAGAUCUUGCGCCGAAAAUGUAACGGGGCUAAACUUACCACCGAAGCUACGGGCUUGAACUUAGUUCAAGCGGUAGGAGAGCGUCGUAACCGGGCUGAAGUCGUACCGUAAGGAGCGGUGGACUGGUUACGAGUGAGAAUGUUGGCAUCAGUAGCGAGAUGUGGGUGAGAAUCCCACAGGCCGAAAACCUAAGGUUUCCUCAGGAAGGUUCGUCCGCUGAGGGUUAGUCGGGACCUAAGCCGAGGCCGAAAGGCGUAGGUGAUGGACAACUGGUUGAUAUUCCAGUACCACUACCAUCGUUAUUAUCGAUGGCGUGACGCAGGAGGAUAGUGUGUGCUAGCUAUUGGAUGCUAGUCUAAGCGUUUAGGCAGUGAGAGUAGGCAAAUCCGCUCUCAUAAUGCUGAGGCGUGAUGGGGAAGGUUCUACGGAACCGAAGUACAUGAUUCCACGCUGCCAAGAAAAGCGUCUAGAGAGAGAAGUAGUGCCCGUACCGCAAACCGACACAGGUAGGUGAGGAGAGAAUCCUAAGGCCUGCGGAAGAAUUACAGUUAAGGAACUCGGCAAAUUGACCCCGUAAGUUCGCGAGAAGGGGUGCCUACGAGAGUAGGCCGCAGAGAAUAGGCCCAAGCAACUGUUUAGCAAAAACACAGGUCUCUGCUAAAGCGUAAGCUGAUGUAUAGGGGCUGACGCCUGCCCGGUGCUGGAAGGUUAAGGGGAACACUUAGCGCAAGCGAAGGUGUGAACUUAAGCCCCAGUAAACGGCGGCCGUAACUAUAACGGUCCUAAGGUAGCGAAAUUCCUUGUCAGGUAAGUUCUGACCCGCACGAAUGGCGUAAUGACUUGGGCACUGUCUCAACUGUAAAUCCGGCGAAGUUGUAGUGCGAGUGAAGAUGCUCGCUACCCGCGAUUGGACGGAAAGACCCCGUAGAGCUUUACUGUAGCUUAGCAUUGAGUUUUGGUAUUGUCUGUACAGGAUAGGUGGGAGACUAGGAAACCAGGGCGUCAGCCUUGGUGGAGUCAACCUUGGGAUACCACCCUGACAGUACUGAAAUUCUAACUGGCGGCCAUGAAUCUGGUCACAGGACAUUGUUAGGUGGGCAGUUUGACUGGGGCGGUCGCCUCCUAAAAAGUAACGGAGGCGCCCAAAGGUUCCCUCAGAACGGUCGGAAAUCGUUCGAAGAGUGCAAAGGCAGAAGGGAGCCUGACUGCGACACCCACAAGUGGAGCAGGGACGAAAGUCGGGCUUAGUGAUCCGGUGGUACCUCGUGGGAGGGCCAUCGCUCAACGGAUAAAAGCUACCUCGGGGAUAACAGGCUGAUCUCCCCAAGAGUCCACAUCGACGGGGAGGUUUGGCACCUCGAUGUCGGCUCGUCGCAUCCUGGGGCUGAAGUAGGUCCCAAGGGUUGGGCUGUUCGCCCAUUAAAGCGGCACGCGAGCUGGGUUCAGAACGUCGUGAGACAGUUCGGUCCCUAUCCGUCGCGGGCGUAGGAAAUUUGAGAGGAGCUGUCCUUAGUACGAGAGGACCGGGAUGGACUGACCUCUGGUGUACCAGUUGUUCCGCCAGGAGCACAGCUGGGUAGCUAAGUCGGGAAUGGAUAAACGCUGAAAGCAUCUAAGCGUGAAGCCAACCUCAAGAUGAGAUUUCCCAUAGCGUAAGCUAGUAAGAUCCCUUGAAGAACACAAGGUUGAUAGGUCGGGGGUGUAAGCAUGGUAACAUGUUCAGCUGACCGAUACUAAUAGAUCGAGGGCUUGACCAAAU
Molecule: ribosomal RNA, 2910 nt
Filed under: Clostridium perfringens
Lineage: Bacteria; Bacillati; Bacillota; Clostridia; Eubacteriales; Clostridiaceae
Description: bacterial LSU rRNA
Rfam family: Bacterial large subunit ribosomal RNA
Source: RNAcentral